This 98-nucleotide non-coding RNA is filed under the name Priestia endophytica DSM 13796. Lineage: Bacteria; Bacillati; Bacillota; Bacilli; Caryophanales; Bacillaceae. The record is from RNAcentral.
UUUUACGAUGGCGGUCGUAGUACAGGUUAAGUUGUCGAGGUAGAAGGUUUCAGUCUUUAGAGAAGAGUGAAACGAUUCAAUGGAGGCAUUGUCUGCGG